CGGAGUCAGACACAGGUGACGCCCAUUCUGUUUCUGCAGACAUCUGAUUGGCUCACUCAGCGGUGCCUAUGUAUUCAAGGAGGGAAACUUCCGGCGAGGAUCUUUAUAAAGUAAAGGAUUCAGACACAGCAUACACACAAAAACAUGAAUCCUGUGAAGCUUGUGAAAUGGAGCAGCUGGAGUUCAAACUCCACACACAACAUGAAGAGGAAAACAGAAAGAGAAGCUGCUUCUUUGUUGGACCUGUUAUGGGAUUUUGUUCUAAUAGAUUUAUGACUAUAUAAUACUUAACAUAAUAUAAUAUAUAUGUGCAAUACAAAAACGUUGUUAUUUUCGGUAAAAACUUAGUGUCCAGUACUUUUAAUUAGUGGUUCAUGCAAGUGGAGAUAUAUUCUAGUUUUUCGCAAAACUUUGGCGAGAUUUUAUAAAUAUUGAUGAAAAAUAAGACAGCGUUUCAUUUAACUGAUGUUAUGCGACUAAAACGUAACCUUUCGUCUUUUUUGCGUCUGUGUGAAAUUGAGGUGUUUCCAUCAGGUGUGUUUUGCCGCAGUUUGAAGGGUAAUCUAAAAACACCUUUAAAUAUGUUUCAUGUCAUUUCAUGCUGUUUCGUACAUAAACCUCAUCCUCGAGGAUUGUGUCUCUCCUGAUUAAACUACAGAUCAGAAUCCACACAAACACGUGAUAAAAAAAUACUGAUGAACGCUGGGAAAAAAUAGCAUUUACUGGGAAAACAAUUUUUUUUAUUUUAUAUACAUAAAUGUACAUUUUCAGCUCAGAAAACAUUUUUAUAUGUUUUGCUGUCUGGAUUGCAGCAUAACUUUGAGACUAUCUUAAACAAGAAGUAUGUAAGUCUUAAUCUUUUUCUUUAAUGUGAUUUAUAUACCCCUCUCUUGUUCCCUGAAGUAGUUUUUUUCCCUCUCUUCUUGUAAUUUUUUUAUUUAUUUGUUCUACAUUGUAACAGUUUUUUUCUUUGUCUGUAUAAUGUUCUUCAUAAAAAAAAAAAAAACCAUGAACACACCAGCUGUGGGUGUGGCCAUCACCUGAUCACCUGACCACACAGCUUCACUCUGAU
This 1072-nucleotide long non-coding RNA is filed under the name Carassius auratus (goldfish). RNAcentral's name for it is "lncRNA (ENSCARG00000044022.1)". The record is from RNAcentral. Lineage: Eukaryota; Metazoa; Chordata; Actinopteri; Cypriniformes; Cyprinidae.